UGGGGAAUCUUGCCCAAUGGGCGAAAGCCUGAGGCAGCGACGCCGCGUGAGGGAAGAAGGCCUUCGGGUUGUAAACCUCUUUCAGGAGGGACGAAGCUACUCGGGUGAAUAGCCCAGAGGGUGACGGUACCUCCAGAAGAAGCCCCGGCUAACUACGUGCCAGCAGCCGCGGUAAUACGUAGGGGGCAAGCGUUGUCCGGAUUUACUGGGCGUAAAGAGCGUGUAGGCGGCCAGACAGGUCUGUUGUGAAAACUGGAGGCUCAACCUCCAGACGUCGACAGAAACCGUCUGGCUAGAGUCCGGAAGAGGAGAGUGGAAUUCCUGGUGUAGCGGUGAAAUGCGCAGAUAUCAGGAAGAACACCGAUGGCGAAGGCAGCUCUCUGGGACGGUACUGACGCUGAGACGCGAAAGCGUGGGGAGCGAACAGGAUUAGAUACCCUGGUAGUCCACGCCGUAAACGAUGGGUGCUAGGUGUGGGAGGUGUCGACUCCUUCCGUGCCGCAG
RNAcentral lists this ribosomal RNA (504 nucleotides) under uncultured Actinomycetes bacterium. RNAcentral describes it as "bacterial SSU rRNA". It matches the Rfam family "Bacterial small subunit ribosomal RNA", at positions 355 to 851 of the family's 1533-position model. Lineage: Bacteria; Bacillati; Actinomycetota; Actinomycetes. The record is from RNAcentral.